AAUCUGGUUGAUCCUGCCAGUAGUCAUAUGCUUGUCUCAAAGACUAAGCCAUGCACGUCUAAGUACAAACUAAAUGAUGGUGAAAUUGCAAAUGGCUCAUUACAACGGUUAUGAUGUACCCGGGAGUUCCGAUGGAUAUUUCCAGUAACACUAGAACUAAUACAUGUCCCUGCGUUUAUUAGUUUCGCACAGUCCGUCGCUGAGUCAUGGUAAACAGUUGAUCGACUCGACGUCCCGGAACAGUUUCCGCCCCAUCAGCUUCGAUGGUUGGGUAUUGGCCUACCAUUGCAACAACGGGUAACGAGGAAUUAGGGUUUGAUUUCGGAGAGGGAGCCUGAGAAACGGCUACCACAUCUACGGAUGGCAGCAGGCGCGCAAAUUACCCAAUGCAGACACUGUGAGGUAGUGACGAGAAAUAAUAAAGCGGGACUUCUGUUUCGCUAUUAUAAUGAGGAAUAACCAAAGGUCAUUCCGAUUAGCAACUGAUGGGAAAGUCUGGUGCCAGCAGCCGCGGUAAUACCAGCGUCAGUAGCAUAUAUUAAAAUUGUUGCAGUUAAAACGUCCGUAGUCUGUACGUCGUCCCAAACUCACUGCAGUCUUCCGUUUUCUUAAUUGAAUGCGGUAGUUUCUGCAGUCACUCCCUUGAUCAAAUUAGGUUGUUCAAGGUAGACCCAAGUCUUCAUAUUUUCACAUGGAAUUGGGUGAGGGAACUUAAGAGUUUAAGUUUCUCGUCUUAGGAUCAUCCGGGGUCAUUCGUACUCGUCCGCGAGAGGUGAAAUUCUUGGACCGGACGAAGACGACCAGCAGCGAAAGCAUCUGUCAGGGAUGUUUUCUGCGACAAAGGACGAAGGUCAGGGUAUCGAAGACGAUUAGAUACCGUCGUAGUCCUGACUGUAAACUAUGCCAACUUGGGUCUUGCUGGGCGAUGCUUUGUGAGACCCACACAGAAAUGAAAGUGUAUGGGUUCUGGGGGCAGUAUGGACACAAGUCUGAAACUUGAAGGAAUUGACGGAAGAGCACCAUAAGACGUGGAGCUUGCGGCUUAAUUUGACUCAACGCGGGAAAACUUACCAGGUCAAGACAUGGGCGUGAUUGACAGGCUAAUGACUUUUCUCGAUUCCAUGGAUGGUGGUGCAUGGUCGCACUUAGUUGGUGCAGUGAUUUGUCAGGUUUAUUCCGGUAACGAACGAGACCUCAGCCUA
RNAcentral lists this ribosomal RNA (1202 nucleotides) under uncultured marine eukaryote. RNAcentral describes it as "SSU rRNA". It matches the Rfam family "Eukaryotic small subunit ribosomal RNA", at positions 1 to 1350 of the family's 1831-position model. The record is from RNAcentral.